RNAcentral lists this small RNA (29 nucleotides) under Bombyx mori (domestic silkworm). Its description in RNAcentral is "ovarian small RNA-25435". The record is from RNAcentral. Lineage: Eukaryota; Metazoa; Arthropoda; Insecta; Lepidoptera; Bombycidae.
UCACUGCUCCCUUCCUCGGCCGAGUGCCA